GUGUCAGCAGCCGCGGUAAUACGUAGGGGGCAAGCGUUGUCCGGAAUCAUUGGGCGUAAAGCGCGCGUAGGCGGCCCGGUAAGUCCGCUGUAAAAGUCCAGGGCUCAACCCUGGAAAGCCGGUGGAUACUGUCGGGCUAGAGUCCGGAAGAGGCGAGUGGAAUUCCUGGUGUAGCGGUGGAAUGCGCAGAUAUCAGGAGGAACACCGAUGGCGAAGGCAGCUCGCUGGGACGGUACUGACGCUGAGGCGCGAAAGCGUGGGGAGCGAACAGGAUUAGAUACCCGCGUAGUCC
RNAcentral lists this ribosomal RNA (292 nucleotides) under uncultured bacterium. RNAcentral's name for it is "partial 16S ribosomal RNA". It matches the Rfam family "Bacterial small subunit ribosomal RNA", at positions 505 to 796 of the family's 1533-position model. The record is from RNAcentral.